This 372-nucleotide ribosomal RNA is filed under the name uncultured fungus. RNAcentral describes it as "partial small subunit ribosomal RNA". It matches the Rfam family "Eukaryotic small subunit ribosomal RNA", at positions 30 to 432 of the family's 1831-position model. Lineage: Eukaryota; Fungi. The record is from RNAcentral.
GCUUGUCUCAAAGAUUAAGCCAUGCAUGUUCAAACAUAAGUAUUAUAAAGCGAAGUUGCGAAUGGCUCAUUAUAUCAGUUAUAAUAUACUAGAUAGUUUCUCUACUUGGAUAACCGUAGUAAUUCUAGAGCUAAUACAUGACUAAAAGGGCUAGCCCUGCAUUUAUUAGAUACAACCAACCCUUCGGGUUUUGGCGAAUCAUAAUAACUGAGCGGACCGUAUUCGUACGGCGUUUCUUAUUAAUUUCUGCCCUAUCAGCUUUCGAUGGUAGGGUAUUGGCCUACCAUGGCGUUAACGGGUAACGGAGAAUUAGGGUUCGAUUCCGGAGAGGGAGCCUGAGAGAUGGCUACCACAUCCAAGGAAGGCAGCAGG